This 340-nucleotide unclassified non-coding RNA is filed under the name fungal sp. Its description in RNAcentral is "partial internal transcribed spacer region". The stretch from base 1 to 46 matches the Rfam family "Eukaryotic small subunit ribosomal RNA", at positions 1786 to 1831 of the family's 1831-position model. The record is from RNAcentral. Lineage: Eukaryota; Fungi.
AAGUCGUAACAAGGUUUCCGUAGGUGAACCUGCGGAAGGAUCAUUAACACGUAUCCAACGUUUAACCACCCCGUGCACCUUCAUUGAAACCCCACGUUAACACGAAUUGCGCGGAAAAACGGAUCGGGAUCGCAACUCACACGAGGUGUAUGAAGAACGGAAGGGUCCUGAAGCUAGGCGCGUUUCCAUUCCACACCUUGGGUCAACCAGCAGGUGAGGUGUCUUUGCGGAAAUCUUCUUGGCGUAGAGCUAGGGUGCCUGGCAGGCGCAACCUAAGGGAACUGCCGAGAGUGCACUUUAGCGGGUGCGUUUUUGGCGGACCUUGCGCCGGAUCCAAGCG